GACGAACGCUGGCGGCGUGCUUAACACAUGCAAGUCGAACGGAAAGGCCCUGCUUGCAGGGUACUCGAGUGGCGAACGGGUGAGUAACACGUGGGUGCUCUGCCCUGCACUUCGGGAUAAGCCUGGGAAACUGGGUCUAAUCCCGGAUAGGAGCCACUUUUAGCGUGAUGGUUGGAAAGUUCUUUGGGGGUAGGAUGAGCUGGCGGCCUAUCAGCUUGUUGGUGGGGUAAUGGCCUACCAACGCGGCGACGGGUAGCCGCCCUGAGAGAGUGGGAGGCCACAUUGGCACUGAGAGACGGCCCAGACGCCGACGGGAGGCAGAAGGGGGGAAUAUUGAACAAGGCGCGCAAGGCGGAUGCAGCGACGCCGCGUGGGGGAUGACGGCCUUGUGGUUGUAAACUACUUGCGCGAGAGACGAAGCUUUUUGUGACGGUACCUAGAGAAGAAGCACCGGCUAACUACGUG
Molecule: ribosomal RNA, 465 nt
Filed under: uncultured bacterium
Lineage: Bacteria
Description: partial 16S ribosomal RNA
Rfam family: Bacterial small subunit ribosomal RNA
Source: RNAcentral